This 5070-nucleotide long non-coding RNA is filed under the name Homo sapiens (human). RNAcentral describes it as "HSALNT0191054". Lineage: Eukaryota; Metazoa; Chordata; Mammalia; Primates; Hominidae. The record is from RNAcentral.
AAGGAGUCUUGCUCUGUUGCCCAGGCUGGGCUCACUGUAGCUUUGACCCCCCAGACUCAGUCAUCCUCUCACCUCAGCCUCCAGAAUCGCUGGGACCACAGCCAUGUGAGUAAUAGUGACCUCAUCACAAAAAAGAAAAAAAGAAAAAAAAACUCGCAUAAACUCUGCUACAGGAAUGCACGUGUUUUUCGGACCCAGACUUUUUUUUUUCCUGUUUGAUUUAUCUCUCUAUUAUUGGAGAUUUUACUUUUUCUUCCUGGUUUGCACAUGCUGGUCUUAUCAAGAGAGAAGUACUUCUGUCCCAUGUUCACCACUUCCAUAGAAACAAUUCUCUCCAAUCUUUCUAAUAUGAGAAAAGCUGGAAGACAGAAAUGAAAAAAACAAUUUAAAUUGGAAUAAAGAUUUUUGUUUUUUUUAAAAGCGCACAUCCACUUCAGCUGACAAGAUGAUUCCUGAAGAAAUCAGAACAGACAAAGAAGCAAGACAGAGAGAAUAGGAACCUCAGCUCUUUUGAAAUUCCACCUAAGUUCAAUGCAUCACCUUUGCUGGCCAAGGCAUCUUGUCAGUCACGGCGUGAAGCUCCACUCUUCUGCUGGCAGAAACAGACCUCAUGAUAGCAAAUGGCAUCUGCGUGUCCUUCUUCUUGGUCUAGUUGCUGCAAGACCCUCUCGCUGCACCAUCUGUUCCUCGGCUGGAGCUUGAGCCACACAAGGCCGCAGUUCCCAAACAAAUGCCUCCUUGGGGUGAAGAAAACGAGAAUGAGUGAGGUACAGUGGCCAUUCUCUUCCAACAGCUUCUAGAGCUGCUGAUAGAACUGUUUUGGUUUUUACCAUCCUGUCUCCCCAGGUCCCUCUCAACAGUCCCUGAUGAAGAAAAUCUGAUAAGCAGUACAGUCCCUGUAAGCAGUAUAGUCCCUGUUUUACUCCGGCUUGACUACAUCAGCUCUCCUCCCUCAACCUGAGUUCUUUUGCCCUGAGGCUCCCUUGGUCUUUCCUACUGACCCUCUCCUGAAGGAAAUUCCCCCACCAGACUUUCAGAUAUGCCUCCAUGUGACAGAUUCCUAGCCCUUAGCCCCGCUACUGCACAAGAAACUAAAAUACAGGCAGACCAUAAUCCAUGCUCUAUUUUAAAUUAUAUCUCUGAUGUUAUAGAUUGACUGCUUAUUUAAUUGGAAACCUAUGGGAUUCACUCACUUUCCUUGUUUCUCUCUUUUUUUUAAACAACUAAACAGUUUGAGAGACACAAAAAUUAAAUUGUGGUGAUUAAUUAUGGAAUUAGUGUUUUUAACAUUUAUCCCUAAAAGUAACAUUGAAACAAUCUGAUGCAAUUUUGAAAUUAGUAAUUCAAUCCUCUAGAAUUGAUUUAAGGCUUAAAAAACUCUAAACCUUUAACUCAAAUCUAAGUCAUGCAUCACUUAACGAUGGGCAUACAUACUGAGAAAUGUGUCAUUAGGCAAUUUCAUCCUUGUGCAAAAAUCAUAGAGUGGACUCACACAAGCCUAGAUGGUAUAGCCUACUUAGCCUAUGUUAGUGGAAAAACCGAGCUCUGUAAAAUAUUUUAAAGAGGUUUAUUCUGAGCCAAUAUGCAUGACCAUAGUCUGGGGAAAUGUGCAAACCCAAGAAGCCUUCACUAAGUGGUCCCAAGACAGCUAGGUCACAACUCUGUUUCAUACAUUUUAGGGAAGCAGAAGUUACAGGUAGUCAUAAAAUCAAAAUAUAUGGGGGUCAUGCAUUUGUUUGGCCCCCCAAAAGUGGGAUACCUUGAAGUGGGAGGCGGGGGCUUACAGGUCAUAGAUGGAUUUAGAGAUUCUUUAAUUUGCAGUUGGUUAAAGGAGUAAAGCUUUGUCUAAAAACUUAGAAGAAAGGAAUGUUUGAAGUUGAGAUAAGGAAGUCUGUUAACCAAUACAGAGUGAGCUAUAAGGGGUGUGUGACUUAACCCUUGUCCGGUAUGGCCUUAGGUCCUGUUUAUAAUGUGGUGUCUUAUUGUCACAAAGAGACUGUUUUGUUCAUCUUAUGAUCUCUAUUCUAACAUUAAUGCUGGUCAAUUGUGCCUAAACUGCAAAAGAGAGGGGACAUAACAAGACAUGUCUAACCUCCCUUCCCAUCAUGGCUGGGAAUUCAAUUUUUGAGGUUUCCUGGGGUCUCCUUGGCCAAGAGAGUGUCUGUUCAGUUAGUAGGGGCUUAGCAUUUUAUUUUUAGUCUAUAGCUAUAUGCUUUAGCCUAUUGCUCCUAGGUUACAAAUGUGCAUGGCAUGUUACUGUACUGAAUACUGGAUACAGCUGUAACACAAUGAUUACAUAUUUGUGUAUCUAAACAUACCUAAACAUAAGGUAAUUUGUUGUGCUACGACAUUAUGAUGGCUACAACGUCACUAGGCAAUAGAAAUUCUUUAGCUCCAUUAUAAUCUUAUGUGGUCCAUCAUUGACUGGACCGUCACAAUGCAGCACAUAACUGUAAUGUGAUUUUAAGAAUUUUCACUUUUUGGUCACCCCUUCAGAACACCUUAUAGUGUAUAAAUUGGUAAAGAAAAAAUUAUUCUGACACUUGUUAAAAUGGUAAUAUAGGGGAGAGAAAGUAAUAUCUUUUCCUUACCCAUUGCAAGAUUUAUGGCUGACAUCCCUAUAACGAAAGAUGGAUUAACAAGAGAAAAGCACAACAAAUUUAUUUCAUCAAAGUUUUUAGGUGACACAAGAGCCUUCAGAAAUGAAGACUCAAUGACCCAAGGGAAACUGUAUUUUUAUGGACGGUUAUGCAGAAGUGUGAUUAGAGGACAAAGGGUAUGACCUGUGUAUUAGUCUAUUUUGCCUUACUACAAAAGAAUACCUGAGACUGGGUAAUUUAUAAAGAAAAGAGGUUUAUUUGGCCCUCUUCUGCAGACUCUAUAAGAAGGAUGGUGCCAGCAUCUGCAUCUGGUGAGGUCCUCAGGAAGCUUACAAUCAUGGCGGAAGGCAAAGGCAGAGCAGGCGUGUCACAUGGCGAGAGAAGGAGCCAGAGAGGGGGAGGAGGUGCCAGGCUCUUAAAUAAUCAACUCUUGUAUGAACUGAUAGAGUGAGAACUCACUCAUUACCAUAAUGACAGCACCACGCCAUUUAUGAGGGAUCUGCCCCCAUGACCCAAACACCUCCCACUAGGCCCCACCUCCAACAGUGGGGAUCACAUUUCAGCAUGAGAUUUGGAAGGGACAAAUAUCCAAACCUCAUCAAUCUGUUAAAGAAAAUUGAUGGGAGGCCAUUGUUUUGGACUGAGUUCCUGCACCAAAAAACAGUAGAUUCACAGCAACCAAUUACACAGGGCCCAGUUUACUUCAGCCAGCAUGAUAAGAAAGUCCCCUCUGUUUUAAGCCUAUAAGAAAAGUAACUUUAUGAUGACCAAUCCAGUUUUUGCUCCUUGCUUCUCCUUUCUUCUGCCUUUUUUGCCUAUAAAGCCCAUCUCCUCUGCUCAGCUCAUCUUCAGAUGGAAUACUGCUCAAUUUAUGAGUUGAUAAUCAAAGUCAAUGAGAUCUUUAAACUACACAUGUUGAAAUUUUGUUUGUUUGACAGAUCUAAUGGUAAUAAACUUGGGGUAACUUAGCAAGGCCUGUUUGUUCAGAAUCUUCUGCCUGGCUAUAGGGCAGAUCCCCCUCUGGAAUGAAGGUCUUAUGACCCACUUUCAGGGGAGGUAGAUCAGAGAACUCUUUCUAUGGCCUCAGGGGAAAAAGGUGGAGAAGGUCAGAGUGUGAUCUUUCUGCUUCUGCUGUCUUCUCAGUUUCCAAGGUGCCAUAUUUUGGGGUAUGGUGUUGUGAGCCCCAACAGUAAGGAAGACUUUAUUCAAAACUGCAAUAGGAGAGAGAGAUCAGGCUCAACAAAGAUAGCUGGGGAUUUAUAGCCAAGGGGCAGAGUGAGGGGUCAGUGGAUAGAAAAGUAAAAAUAGGGGACAUUUGGGGUAGGAGGGUUCUUGCUGAAGGCAGGCCAGAGUGGUCAGAUAUCAAGGGUGGAGAGAUUCUUGCUAAACUGACUUAGUGUGAUUCUUGCUACAACUAGGCUAGACAGGCCAAAGUCAGGAUGGAUGCCAAGUUCUUUGAAGCUUCACUGAAAAAGGGGCUCAGGGGAGCCUGACUAAAGUUUGGUCAAAGAGAGAGUCUUUGUCACAUCGUCGUCUGUUUUAAAUCUGACUCUUGAAACUGAACAGUGCAACACAGACAGAGUCUGACCAGUGCAGGAUAGAGAACAGAUAUGUCCUUUCUGGAGAUGUAUGCUAAAUUUCUCUAGCAUGUUGACAUCGGACUGCUGUGCAGCCAUGAAGCCCCAUUAUGGAUUGGCUCGUGUGAUAUUGUGAAAGUGAACUAUAUACUUGCUCUUCAUCCCCAUUUCCUGGCAUAGAACUCCUAAAAUUUUGGAAUCUUCAAAGCAAUAAGUAUCUUUCUACGCUAAUGAGAUGACUGGUGGCUGGCAGCCCCUAGGGAGCUUCAGGAUGGGGCCUAGUCACCAGAAAAACCAAGGCAGGAUUAGAGGGUUCAGACUUUAGCCCCACCAUUCAACUUCCAGGGUUUAGUCAAUCAUGCCUACAUAAUGAAACUUCCAUAAAAGUCCAAAAGGACUGGGUUCAGAGAACUUCCAGAUAGCUGAACAUAUGGAGGUUCCUGGAUAAUGGAACAUCUAGAGAAGGUCUGGACGUUCCGUGAAUCUUCCCACGUGCCUUGCCCCAUGCAUGUCUUCAUCUGUGUCCUUUACAAUAAAUGAAAAAAUGUUGAGUAAAGUGUUUUCCUGCGUUCUGGGAGCUACUUUAGCAAAUUAAUCAAAUCCAAGGAGAGCAUCGUAAGAGCCCCAACUUGAAGCCGGUCAGUCAGAAGGACAGGUCAAACAGUCUGGAGCGUGUGAUUGGCAUCACAAGUGGAGGACAGUCUUGUGGGACUGAGCGCUCAACUCUGAGUUCUGAUGGUAUCUCCAGGUAGACAGUGUUAGAGCCGAAUUAUAAGACACAUAGCUGGCAUUCACUGCAGAACUGAUUGGUUGUUGGUGGGGAGAAAUCCCUACAUACUGGUCAGUGACCAGAGGUCACAGAAGUCUUCUGUGUUGAUUGUUGGUGAGGGAGA